CAGAGGUUCUACCACAAAAGCUGUUGUCUAUUGAUUCAGAUGUUAUGGAGAGCCUCUGUU
MicroRNA precursor from Gadus morhua (Atlantic cod), 60 nucleotides. The record is from Ensembl. NCBI's taxonomy places the organism in Eukaryota, Metazoa, Chordata, Actinopteri, Gadiformes, Gadidae.